CUACGUAGGUGACAAGCGUUAUCCGGAUUUACCGGGCGUAAAGGGCGUGUAGGCGGUCUUGCAAGUCAGAAGUGAAAUUCCUGAGCUCAACUCGGGCGCUGCUUCUGAAACUGUAUCCCUUGAGUAUCGGAGAGGCAGGCGGAAUUCCUUUUGGAGCCGGUAAAUGCGUAGAUAUUAGGAGGAACACCAGUGGCGAAGGCGGCCUGCUGGACGACAACUGACGCUGAGGCGCGAAAGCGUGGGGAGCAAACAGGAUUAGAUACCCUGGUAGUCCACGCUGUAAACGAUGAAUACUAGGUGUGGGGGGACUGACCCCCUCCGUGCCGCAGUUAACACAAUAAGUAUUCCACCUGGGGAGUACGAUCGCAAGAUUGAAACUCAAAUGAAUUGACGGGG
Molecule: ribosomal RNA, 396 nt
Filed under: uncultured bacterium
Lineage: Bacteria
Description: partial 16S ribosomal RNA
Rfam family: Bacterial small subunit ribosomal RNA
Source: RNAcentral